AUGCUGCUGGAGACGGACAGCAGCGGCUACAGGUCGUCACAAGCCACACCGUCAAAAACGCUGGGCAAGCAAGAUUCCCUUCUCCCACCACCGUCCCUCCGCAUCCUGCUAACCCCUCCAGCUCACGAGCCAUCAAGCUCCCUGAGCGUGAAGAAUUUGGUCUCCAAGCUAUGCUCCCCGACUGGCCUGGACCUGGGCACCCCGCGGAUGGCAGCAGAGGCUGGCGGUCCAGCCCUGAGCGCUCAGGCCCUCAAGGAGAUGGCCGUGAGCACCAAGAGCAUUGCCCUCAUCGCGGCCACCCGGCGCUCCAAGGCGCAGGACCGCGAGGGUGGCAGUGGCCACUCCUCCCUCCACCUUCCGGAGGAGGUGGCCCUGGACUCCAGGGACCCGAAGGUCAGUGUCACCCCAAACCCGAGCCCAGCAGACCGGAGGCGGUCCCUUGCCAGCCCAGGCAGGGACAGCUCUGCAGAGAGGAAGCCCAGGAGGAAGCGGUCACCCUCCCUCACCUGGAGCGCACAGCCGGUGAUGGAGCCCGUGGCUGAGAGCCAGCUGCCCCUGGCACUCCCGCAGCUGACAAAGUCGUCCGGAAAGAGCUUCUUCCCCGCCGUCCCCAUGGCCUCCAAGAGGAAACCCAGCCUGGGUGUCCAUGCAGACGAGAAGAUGCCCCCGGUGCCUGAGGUCAGCUUCACCUUCCCCAGCGCCACGUGGCACAGCAGCCCGGGCCCGGGCAAGGCCCCGCUCCUGCCCCGGGACAUCCGAGGUCAGUGCCCGCGCGAACCCACGGCUCCCGCUCCCCACGCGCCCCUGCCGUGCAUGCGGCGGCCGCGCCUCCCCGUGGCUACUUGA
This 846-nucleotide long non-coding RNA is filed under the name Ursus thibetanus thibetanus. RNAcentral describes it as "lncRNA (ENSUTTG00000015396.1)". Lineage: Eukaryota; Metazoa; Chordata; Mammalia; Carnivora; Ursidae. The record is from RNAcentral.